GACAGCAGCAGCCGCGGUAAUACAGAGGGUGCGAGCGUUAAUCGGAUUUACUGGGCGUAAAGCGUGCGUAGGCGGCUUCUUAAGUCGGAUGUGAAAUCCCUGAGCUUAACUUAGGAAUUGCAUUCGAUACUGGGAAGCUAGAGUAUGGGAGAGGAUGGUAGAAUUCCAGGUGUAGCGGUGAAAUGCGUAGAGAUCUGGAGGAAUACCGAUGGCGAAGGCAGCCAUCUGGCCCAAUACUGACGCUGAGGUACGAAAGCAUGGGGAGCAAACAGGAUUAGAUACCCGAGUAGUCCCUGUCUCUUAUAC
This 306-nucleotide ribosomal RNA is filed under the name uncultured bacterium. RNAcentral's name for it is "partial 16S ribosomal RNA". It matches the Rfam family "Bacterial small subunit ribosomal RNA", at positions 505 to 807 of the family's 1533-position model. The record is from RNAcentral.